RNAcentral lists this ribosomal RNA (253 nucleotides) under uncultured bacterium. RNAcentral's name for it is "partial 16S ribosomal RNA". It matches the Rfam family "Bacterial small subunit ribosomal RNA", at positions 524 to 776 of the family's 1533-position model. The record is from RNAcentral.
UACGAAGGGGGCUAGCGUUAAUCGGAAUUACUGGGCGUAAAGCGUGCGCAGGCGGUUUUGUAAGUCUGACGUGAAAUCCCCGGGCUCAACCUGGGAAUUGCGUUGGAGACUGCAAGGCUGGAGUCUGGCAGAGGGGGGUAGAAUUCCACGUGUAGCAGUGAAAUGCGUAGAGAUGUGGAGGAACACCGAUGGCGAAGGCAGCCCCCUGGGUUAAGACUGACGCUCAUGCACGAAAGCGUGGGGAGCAAACAGG